RNAcentral lists this ribosomal RNA (495 nucleotides) under uncultured bacterium. RNAcentral's name for it is "partial 16S ribosomal RNA". It matches the Rfam family "Bacterial small subunit ribosomal RNA", at positions 899 to 1397 of the family's 1533-position model. The record is from RNAcentral.
ACUCAAAUGAAUUGACGGGGGCCCGCACAAGCAGUGGAGUAUGUGGUUUAAUUCGAAGCAACGCGAAGAACCUUACCAGGGCUUGACAUCCCUUGAAGUUAGUAGAGAUACUAACGUCCUUCGGGACAAGGAGACAGGUGGUGCAUGGUUGUCGUCAGCUCGUGUCGUGAGAUGUUGGGUUAAGUCCCGCAACGAGCGCAACCCCUGUGGUUAGUUGCCAGCAUUAAGUUGGGCACUCUAGCCAGACUGCCGGCGAUAAGUCGGAGGAAGGUGGGGACGACGUCAAAUCAUCAUGCCCUUUAUGUCCUGGGCAACACACGUACUACAAUGGCCGUAACAGAGGGAAGCGAAGGAGCAAUCCGGAGCGAAUCCCUAAAAAGCGGUCUCAGUUCAGAUUGUGGGCUGCAACUCGCCCACAUGAAGUAGGAAUUGCUAGUAAUGGCAGAUCAGCAUGCUGCCGUGAAUACGUUCCCGGGCCUUGCACACACCGCCCGU